This 426-nucleotide ribosomal RNA is filed under the name Escherichia coli. Its description in RNAcentral is "bacterial SSU rRNA". It matches the Rfam family "Bacterial small subunit ribosomal RNA", at positions 1 to 423 of the family's 1533-position model. Lineage: Bacteria; Pseudomonadati; Pseudomonadota; Gammaproteobacteria; Enterobacterales; Enterobacteriaceae. The record is from RNAcentral.
AAAUUGAAGAGUUUGAUCAUGGCUCAGAUUGAACGCUGGCGGCAGGCCUAACACAUGCAAGUCGAACGGUAACAGGAAACAGCUUGCUGUUUCGCUGACGAGUGGCGGACGGGUGAGUAAUGUCUGGGAAACUGCCUGAUGGAGGGGGAUAACUACUGGAAACGGUAGCUAAUACCGCAUAACGUCGCAAGACCAAAGAGGGGGACCCUCGGGCCUCUUGCCAUCGGAUGUGCCCAGAUGGGAUUAGCUUGUUGGUGGGGUAACGGCUCACCAAGGCGACGAUCCCUAGCUGGUCUGAGAGGAUGACCAGCCACACUGGAACUGAGACACGGUCCAGACUCCUACGGGAGGCAGCAGUGGGGAAUAUUGCACAAUGGGCGCAAGCCUGAUGCAGCCAUGCCGCGUGUAUGAAGAAGGCCUUCGGGU